RNAcentral lists this ribosomal RNA (445 nucleotides) under Escherichia coli. Its description in RNAcentral is "bacterial SSU rRNA". It matches the Rfam family "Bacterial small subunit ribosomal RNA", at positions 1 to 440 of the family's 1533-position model. Lineage: Bacteria; Pseudomonadati; Pseudomonadota; Gammaproteobacteria; Enterobacterales; Enterobacteriaceae. The record is from RNAcentral.
UUAAAUUGAAGAGUUUGAUCAUGGCUCAGAUUGAACGCUGGCGGCAGGCCUAACACAUGCAAGUCGAACGGUAACAGAAAGCAGCUUGCUGCUUUGCUGACGAGUGGCGGACGGGUGAGUAAUGUCUGGGAAACUGCCUGAUGGAGGGGGAUAACUACUGGAAACGGUAGCUAAUACCGCAUAACGUCGCAAGACCAAAGAGGGGGACCUUCGGGCCUCUUGCCAUCGGAUGUGCCCAGAUGGGAUUAGCUAGUAGGUGGGGUAACGGCUCACCUAGGCGACGAUCCCUAGCUGGUCUGAGAGGAUGACCAGCCACACUGGAACUGAGACACGGUCCAGACUCCUACGGGAGGCAGCAGUGGGGAAUAUUGCACAAUGGGCGCAAGCCUGAUGCAGCCAUGCCGCGUGUAUGAAGAAGGCCUUCGGGUUGUAAAGUACUUUCAGC